AGCAGAGGUCAGAGAUAUACUUCCAUAGAACUCUCCUACAGAAGCUAAAGCGUUGCCUACUUUUAGGUCUGUAUCAAAACACUCAGCUUCUGUAUUAACACCACGGUAGUAGUGGUUGUUGUCGUGGUAACAAUAGUUACCUGGCAUACACUCUCUCUGCUACUGUUUAAUUGCUUUUCCCCACAUUGCAUUACUUUACUGGGUACAAAUAAUAUCUUGCUUUUCAGGUACAAUAUCAUCUUAUUCUCAUUUUAUUGUUUUUGUGUUUUAAUUAGAAAUUUGUAAUAAAGCAUCACCCAGAAGUUUUGAUGCUGCUGUUGAAGAGAUUUAUCUUUGAUUACCGUCACAGGGGAUUUGUGAAAAAUGAACUCAAGAGUGGAGGUUCCCUACAUUCUACAGAUACCAGAGAAUCAGACCUAUGAGCUGUAUGCCUUUGUGGACCAUUGUGGAAGUCUGACAGGUGGACAUUACACUGCAACAGUCAAGUCCCAGGAUGAUGAGCAAUGGUUUCAAUUCAACGACACUGCUGUCUCACCACUUGAUCACCAGCUACUCUAGGUGGACAG
Monopterus albus (swamp eel) is the source of this 566-nucleotide long non-coding RNA. RefSeq lists it as uncharacterized. The record is from RefSeq and is a predicted model, not a curated record. Lineage: Eukaryota; Metazoa; Chordata; Actinopteri; Synbranchiformes; Synbranchidae. The transcript has 3 exons.